RNAcentral lists this unclassified non-coding RNA (391 nucleotides) under soil metagenome. RNAcentral describes it as "partial contains 5.8S ribosomal RNA, internal transcribed spacer 2, and large subunit ribosomal RNA". The stretch from base 1 to 122 matches the Rfam family "5.8S ribosomal RNA", at positions 35 to 154 of the family's 154-position model. The record is from RNAcentral.
GAUGAAGAACGUAGCUAAAUGCGAUACUUGGUGUGAAUUGCAGAAUCCCGUGAACCAUCGAGUCUUUGAACGCAAGUUGCGCCCGAAGCCAUUAGGCCGAGGGCACGCCUGCCUGGGCGUCACACGUCGUUGCCCCCCCAUCUACUCCUUCGGGAUUGCGGGGGGCGGAUGAUGGCCUCCCGUGCGCCUCGUCGCGCGGUUGGCAUAAAUGCCAAGUCCUCGGCGACGCACGCCACGACAAUCGGUGGUUGCGAAACCUCGGUUGCCCGUCGUGUGCGGUCGUCGCGCAUCGAGGGCUCGAAAAAAUUGUCGGGCUCCGGCUCGGCUUUCAACGCGACCCCAGGUCAGGCGGGGUUACCCGCUGAAUUUAAGCAUAUCAAUAAGCGGAGGA